UUAUUCAGAAACAAAUCUGAAAUUUAGAGAGAGAAUCAGAGCUAUUUGUAGAGAGAGAAAGCUCUGGCGACCACUCCGUCUUUGUAGAGAUCGAAGUUUAGUUGCAGCAUAUUGUUGGUUGUGAAAAUGAAAAAGUGCAAAUCUGUCAUUUUCAGUUUGAUAUUGUUGAUUUGUCGAAAAAGGUUAGUUGUUUGAACGACCCAUCCCUUCCCCUGCCGCUGCUAUAAACACCACACACACACACAUGCUUGAACGGUGACCACCGAUACUAACAUCAAUCACCACUAAAACUACCACCCAAUCUACCCACCACAAUCAUCAAACCACCACCCACACCCAGUAAAUAAGAUCGACAGAGGUGGUUUUAGAGUUGUUUACGAAGGGGUUCUAAGAGAUGGUUCUCAGGUGGCCUCAAGCCUCUUUCUGCUAUAUAUAAAAAAAGGUACCAUCGAAUUCUUGACCAUUAAUCAAUGUAUUAUAAUUAUCUUUAUUCGGAUCAAACUCGUUCUUUACAAUCUGAUAAAAAAAAAGUUGACUACUUGAUAGAGCUUACCAUAACUACAUAGCCCUCGGAUAAUCGGAUUCAAGAUCUGGGGAUGUAACAGGUAACCCAGGUUUAUAACAUUCCCUAAUGCAAAAACCCCAAAGCCCAGUUCACUGGAAUGACACAAACAGUUUAUUACAAUGCUAAACACAAAUCAAUCAGGUUUCACCAAAAGGGUUAACACCCAAGAAGCCUAAUUGAUGAACCAUAGAGAUACAAGGGGAUUUUGGUUUUGUUGCAGCUUUAAAUCAUUGAAGAAGGGAAAGUGUUAGGGUUGAGAGGGAAAUUACCAUUUUACCCUCAUGUGCAUUGCACAUGACAGUUUUUAACUGAGAUUUCAAACCAGGUUUGGCCUAAAGGACAAAACGUGCAAGAUUUUGAAAGACUAAGGACACCGCCUGUAAACUUUUGGCCAAAAGGACAACGCCUGUAAUUUGAUGUAAACAUAAAGGACAAAACUUGUAAUUUACUCAUUUUUUUAUGUUUAAGUUUAAGUUGUUUAAGUAUUUAACCAAUGCUAGAAGAAAUUAUUAAUUUUAUUCUUA
Molecule: long non-coding RNA, 1089 nt
Filed under: Helianthus annuus (common sunflower)
Lineage: Eukaryota; Viridiplantae; Streptophyta; Magnoliopsida; Asterales; Asteraceae
Description: hypothetical non coding rna
Source: RNAcentral